AAAACAUCUUUUCUUGUUAGUUUUUGAAGUAUGGCCUGCCCGCUGACAUUUGGUGUUGAAGGGCCGCGGUAUUUUGACCGUGCAAAGGUAGCAUAAUCAUUAGUUCUUUAAUUGUGAUCUGGAAUGAAUGGCUUGACGAGGCACGGGCUGUCUUAGUGUUGAAUGUUUUAUUGAAUUUGGUCUUUGAGUUAAAAUUCUUAGAUGUUUUUGUGGGACGAGAAGACCCUAUAGAGUUUGACAUUUGGUUUAUUUACUUGUUUGUUGUUUGUUUAUUUUUGGUGAGUGGGCUUUUUGUUUUGUUGGGGUGAUGGGAGGAAUGUACUUAACUCCUCUUAGUUUUGGUUAUAUUGAUUUAUAAUUGUUUGAUCCAUUUAUUUUGAUUAUAAGACUAAAUUACCUUAGGGAUAACAGCGU
Molecule: ribosomal RNA, 414 nt
Filed under: Coptotermes gestroi
Lineage: Eukaryota; Metazoa; Arthropoda; Insecta; Blattodea; Rhinotermitidae
Description: partial 16S ribosomal RNA
Source: RNAcentral